CCUACGGGUGGCAGCAGUGAGGAAGAUUGGUCAAUGGUCGGGAGACUGAACCAGCCAAGCCGCGUGAGGGAUGAAGGUACAGAGGAUCGUAAACCUCUUUUGUCAGGGAACAAAGGCGGGGACGUGUCCCCGGAUGAGUGUACCUGAAGAAAAAGCAUCGGCUAACUCCGUGCCAGCAGCCGCGGUAAUACGGAGGAUGCGAGCGUUAUCCGGAUUUAUUGGGUUUAAAGGGUGCGCAGGCGGUCUGUUAAGGCAGCGGUCAACGCCCGGGGCCCACCCCCGGCCCGCCGUUGAAACUGGCAGUCUCGCGUUGGCGAGAAGUAUGCGGAAUGCGCGGUGUAGCGGUGAACUGCAUAGCUAUCGCGC
Molecule: ribosomal RNA, 366 nt
Filed under: uncultured bacterium
Lineage: Bacteria
Description: partial 16S ribosomal RNA
Rfam family: Bacterial small subunit ribosomal RNA
Source: RNAcentral